GUCAGCUGGAACCAAGCAUUACCUGAGGCUCAGGGGUCUUUCAGGCUCACUGGUUGGUGGCGGAAUUUGGUUCCUAGAAACUGCUCCAAGCCAGUUUGCAGCAUGACUCUUGCUUUCUUCCAGGAGACCCACAGGAAAUCCACUCUCUUGUAAGAGGUUCGCUCGUUAUGUCAGGCCCUUCCAGAAUAAUCUCCCUUUUGCUUCAAGUCAGUGGAUUGACCCAAGUCAAUGGAUUAGUAAUCUAAUAGUGGACGUGGUGUCCCAUGGCUCUGCCCAUGCCCAAGGGAGGGGGAUUAUCCAGUGGUGCAGACUGGCGGGGGUAUCUGGGAAUUCUGCCAGCACAGGAGUGAUGACAGCUGUGCGUCUCUGUCAUUUGGUGAGUAAAGACCUUCUGACAUUGUCCUGGCCACCACUAGAGGCAAGGAAGCUGGUAGAGUGGAGAUCUAGCUUUUCCAGGUUCUGAGGGGAAGAUGAGGAAAGGACAGGUGCUGGGGAAAAGGGGUGGAUUGAUGGGUCAACAAAACGCACCGCCGUCAAAGCUGCUAGAAACCUGAAUUCUAGAAUUUUAGCUCUGGAGGAAGGCAUGAAGAUCCCUUAGUAUGGUGUUUCUAUUUUCUCCAGAAUGAACUAAAGUCCAGAGGACUUGUGUGAGGUUCUUGAAGUCUGGCCUAGACUCUCCAGGUUUGUGCAAAUUUACACUACGAUGUUCACACCAUGGUGCAAUCACCUGAUGAUACAUAUCUUAGAGUGUAAUUCUAUCAUUCAGUAACACAUGACUGUAUUUUCAGUUUGCAGCUUCAGGGACAGAAAGAAAAGGCAGUGGAAUGCUUUCAUUUAGCAGGAGGAGAAAACCUAGAAACUAGAAAAUGAGUAUCUGUGACACUGACCAGAGGAAAAAAGAUUGUGGACCCAAGAAGACCGAGUCUAAAGGUAGUGGUCACCAGUUUCUGAGCAUGCAGCUUCAGGAGAGAGGGAGGGAAAGGGAUUGCAAGAUUUUUAGGAGCGAGUUUGGAGGACGGCUGACGGCCGGCCUGUUUAAACAUUUUCAGGAGUCUAAGGAUAACAGGAAACUCAGAGGCGACAGAAGCAAGGGAAGGCUGUUUGGUUCAAUUGAUUUUGAGGAUGAGGGUGAUUUGAGCACAGGUUCUGUCUAGCAGAAAGGUAAAAAGAAAAGGGAGGAGGAAUAGGAAAGAGAAGACUGUGCCGAAGGGGAGGUACAGAACCGGAAGUGUCCUGAAAGGUGAACUCAGGAGGCAUCACAGUCCUCCGAGUGAGGAAGGAAAGAGGAGAAAGGAAGGCUUUCCACAGUUCCUUUCUGCUCCCCACUGGCUUGGGGAACUGCGGGCUAGCAGGUGGCCUCCUGCACCUCAGCUUCCUCCUUACCGCAUCGUUCGCCUGGGGGACAGUAGAGCUCAACUAGCUAUCACUGUGCCCCAGACAUUUCGCUCCCCUUGCUCUCCCGGCCAGUAGAUUGCUAACAACGGAGACAAUAGACCAACAGCAGGCAGCAUUCCUCCCACACUUGCAAGGCCACAUUCAAAUGAGAUGAACCUCAGAAAGAUACACGGCAAGGAAAUCAUUUGAAUGUCUCCUGAAGGGACGAUGUGAGUAGGUGUCUGACUGCUGCAUAUAAAAUGUCUUAGUACAUUUUAUCUAAAAUCACGUUAUUGCAGGAUAAUUUUUUUCUGAUUUUUCUUCCUCUUAUUUUCCGAGUUCAAUCAACUCUCCUUUCAUUUAUUUCUGGCUUUCAUCUGUUUUAGUACUUAGCUCUUGAAUUUGUGAUUAAGGUGUUCUUCCUGUUCCCCAUGCUUGUCCGAGGACGUUAACGCAGUAUUAGUUUUUUCCCACUUCGCCAUUGUUUAAGGGAGGAAUUUUCCUCAGUUGCACUCUUUGAACUUGUUUUCUUUUUAUGUAAUGAUCUUGCACAGAAGAGCCGUGUGCAUUUCUCUGGGCAGGGCUCAUAGUUGGAGUGGUUGCAAGAUUCCUAGCUCACGAGCGCCCUCUUCUGUCAGUGUAACAAAGUAUGAUUUCUUUCUUUUUUCUUUUUUAUGAUUAUUUUUCUUUAGUACCUGUUUGCAGUACAUGAUGUUUACAAACGUCUUAGGGAGUAGGUACACAUACUUAACAUAUCACAAUUCUUUUUAUUCCCCUUCCCUUCCUCCCUUUCUCCUCCAUCUUGGGAUCCCUUUCCCAUUUGCAAACCAUCUAUCUUCCCAUUUCCUACUGUCUCUUUCAUUUUGUUCUUUAAAUUAUUUAUGCUUUGGGUCUCUUAUAUAAGAGAAGUUACGUGAUAUUUAAGCUUGUGUGUCUGAUUUUUUUCACAUAACAUUAUGGGCUUCUUUUUUGGAAAGUUAAUAAUGGAAGAAGGGUUGGGUUUCCUUCCUUUUCAGAGGAGAAGUAUGUCUGGUAAGUUCCUCAAUUCCUGCUCUCUGCAAGGUUUGCAGAGGUCUCCGCUGCUUUCCUUUUGACCCUGUUCACCAGGGCCGAUUAUCCGACCAAGACAGCCUCUUCCUGUACUGCAAGCUGAGAGUGAACACUCUGACCGACCUCAGCCUUUUUUUCAGUAUUUUCAAACUUCCUCUUUCUGGGGGUGAUUUUAGACCAAUCUUAGGUCUAACACUAGUUCUCACCAUCAAAUACAUGAUCUUCCCCUAACUGGUUGAAGAACUGAGGUUUUCUUUCCCUUGGGGACUUACAGCAGGAGUGUGGGAGGCAACUUGCUGAGGUUUCCUGUUUAUUUUUCUAUUUACAGUUAAUUUGAAAUGUGGACACUCAAUGUCUCUGGUUAAGGGGAAGAUAGGGGUUUUGUAUAUUUACAUUUGAUCUUCUUAUUCUUUAUUGUUUUGGGUGAAAGUAUGUUGGGAAAUUCAGAUUUAUACCACCACCAUUUUCUUGACUUCCCAGAAUUCCUCCAUGUUUACUCUAAAUCUGUCUGAUUGGUCCACAAGAUGCAUUGGUGUCCACUGACAUCAAUAAUCUCAGGGAGCUCCUUAGGCUUCCAUAUUAAGAGUGGAGUUGGGCUACAGGUGAGGAAUAUUCCCUUAAAGAUAUUUGGGGGCUUUUCUUGUGGAACAAAGAAUUCAGAAGUAGGUGGUAGCGGGCAGAAGCACUGCCAUGCUGGAGUUGAAAUCGCUGUGACAGUUUAACCUUUCCUUCUCAGCUGCCUAUAGUUAUUACAGGGCUGUUCUACCUCCAGAUGCAUAUCUGUAAUCCAUUUGGAAAAUGGGCAAAAUGUGAAGGGUGAAAAACAUUUGUCAAUAGUCAACUUUUCAGCACAGAAAGCUCUAAUAGGUUAAAUUCAUUUCCAAAAUGACACCCAGCCAUCGCACCUACUACACACAGAUAAACACACACACACACACACACACACACGCUUACAGAGACUUUUAUAUUUUCAUAGCUCUUUGUCCAUUGGGAUAACUUCAUAUGCUAAAAUAUGUACUAGUUUUUGGUGUUAAUGUAAACUACUUUUGAAGGUAUAUCAACUCCAUAAGUUUCAUUUCAGAAGAGAGGGAACCAGACAUUGGAAAAUUUUCAUACUGAAGCACACCUUUUUAUAUAUUCCAGCAGACAGUAUCUUAGCAUGUAAUGAUUACAUUCUGACCCACAGAAAACUCUCAGGAGAUAUGAACUUCUGGCUCUACCACUAACUACUGAUGCUGUUGGAAGAAGACAUUUAACCUUUUUGAACAUCACCAGUUUCUUGUCUCUGUAGAAGGAUGGGAUUGAUUGGUAUGAUUGUUUCCUUAAAGAUCUGAGACUGAUUUGGGGAAUUUACACAUUUAAUCACCAUUUGUUUGAUGUUGGCCAUAUGCUAGGCACCAUUCUAUGUACUAUGGGUACAUUGUAGUCUGUUACUAUGAUGAGGGAGAAUUUCAAGCCCAUACAAAGGAGAUGAUGAAUCAAUAACUAGGAAAAAAUUUAACCAAGGAGUUACACAGUGACUGGCAUUAACACCAAUGAGCCACAUGCUUGGCAACCUUCAAGGGCUUGGAAUUUAGCUCAAUGGUUCUGCUGCCUGUCUCGCAAGCACAAGGUCCUGAGUUUGAUUCCUGGUACCAAAAAAAAAAAAAAAGAGUAAAUUUAUUCAAGCAUCCUAACCACAAAAAUGAUCAGUAGAUGAGAUAAUAAAUACAUUAACUACCUUGAUUUAGUCAUUUCACAAUGUCUAUGUUUCAAAACAUCACAUUGUACACCAUGAAUUUUAUUUGUCAAUUAAAAAAAUUAAAAAACAACAUGUUAUAAACCAGGAGAUGAAAGACUUCUACACUGAAAACUGUAGAACACUGCUGAAAGAAAUUAAAGAAGGCCUAAAGGAAUGAGAGACAUUCUAUGUUCAUGGAUGGGAAGACUUGACAUUAGUAAGAUGUCAUUAAUGCUCAAAGUGAUCUACAGACUCAAUGCAAUUUAUACCAAAAUCCCAAUAGCUUGCUCUGCAGAAAUGGGAAAGCCAAUUCUUAAAUUCAUAUGGAAUUUCAAGGGCCCCAAAUAGCUAAAAUCAUCUUGAAAAAACAAUUUUUUAAAAAAGCAGAGGGCUCACACUUCCUGAUUUUGAAAAGUUACUAUAAAGCUACUAUAGCCAAAAUGGUGUUGUACUAACAUAAAGAUAGACAUAUAGGCCAUUGAAAUAGAAUUCAGACUUCAGAAAUAAACCCAUGUAUCUAUGGUCAGCUGAUUUUUGAUAAGGGUAUUGAAUCCAUUCAAACAAAAGAAUUUCUACAAGCAAAAGAAUGAAAUCUGGGCCAGGGAUUUACGUCAGUGGUGCCGCCACCUGCCUCGCAAGCACAAGGUUCUGAGUUCAAUCCCUGGUACCAAUAAAAAUAAAUAAAAAAUAACUAAGAAUGAAAUCAGAUUCCAACCUCACAUCUAUACAAAAAUUAACUCAAAAUAGAUCAACAGUCUAAAUAUAAUGGCUGAAAUCAUAAAUUAAAUUGAAAGUAUUCUGAGCACAUUUAAGGUAAGCUAGGCUAAGUUAUAAUCUUCAAUAGGUUAGGUGUACCAAUUGACAUGCAAUAGGUUCGAAUUUCGGUGGGUUUAUUGGAACAUUACUUCAUUGUAAGUUGAAGAACAUCUGUACAUACACAAUGGAAUAUUAGUCACAAAAGGAAUGAAGUUCUGAUACAUGCAACAACAUGGAUGAAUCUCAUGGUAAGUAAAACAACCCAGACAUAGAAAGACAAAUACUGCAUUGGGGCCAGGGAUUUAGCUCAGCGGUUUUGCCUCCUGCUGCACAAGUGCAAGGACCCAAGUUCGAUCCCCGGUACAAAAAAAAAAAACAACAAAUACUGCAUGAUUCCACUUAUAUGAAAUAUCUAGAAUAGGCAAAUUCAUAGAGACAGGAAGUACUUAGAGGUUAGGAAGGACUGGGGGGAGAGGAAUAGAGAGUUAUGGCAUAAUGGCUUCAGAAUUUCUGUUUGGACAGUGAAAAUCUGGGGGGACCAGGUAGUGGUGGUUGUUUGCCCAAUAACAUGAAUGCAACUCAUGCCACUGAAUUAUACACUUAAAAUUGGUUUAAAUGGCAAACUUUGUUACAUGUACUUUUUCACAAUAAAAAGAGAAAAAAUGGGAUAGAUGGGAGAUUUAGGGCAGAUAGUCAUGGCUCAGAGGAAGAUAUCGGCUGGGCCUUUAGACACACAAAGAAAUCCAUAAAAAUGUAGAUUUACGCCUAAGUACAAACCUAAGUUUACCUUAACAGGUACUCAAACACACAGCUCUUCGUCUCUACAGUCCUACAUAUGUGCAGUCCACAAUUCCAGUAAGAAGAUGGCUAAGUCAAAGCAUCCACACACUAGAGGUACACACACGUGCCUAUUACACCAGGUGACAGGAUAGCCACACAGGUUAGCCAAAGAGCCUGCCCACGCAAGAGCACGUUCUAAAGGGGAAAGGAAAGAAAUGCCUGCAGACCUGAGAGACGCGCACAGAUAAGCACUUAGCACAACGAAGCAGUGGAAGAGUUCAAGGGCAUAUAAAUGGGUCACUGGUUGUAGAGGGGGGGAUCAGGGUCGUGAGCACAGCGGAAGCACUGGGGGCUAACUGCGCUGUACAAGGGCAGGGAUUGAAGGUGGGUGAGAUGGGAGAAUGAGAACAUGAGUGGGUGUACAAACAAUAGCUACUUACAGCCUUCUUUGUCUGAUACUCAUAACAAUAGGCUGGAGUUGCCGAGUUUUACUCUUUCUCUUGCCUGUGACUGUCUGACCUUUGGUUAUCAGAAAUCCAACUCAGGAACCUUUGUAAAUGUGGAUCCCAACGCUACUCUGGGGCAGUCCUCAGGUGAGGUCAGUGAACCACUGCAUCUGGCCUCUUUUGCCCGGUAGAGUGAACCCGCCUCAUCCAGGGGCUGCACUGUGCUGUGGAAAGCACCAACCCCACUGGCGGCCAGCCCAGAGCCGUGGUGCAGAGCGAAGUCCCAGAAUAACCAAGGCCAAAGGCAAAAGCAGUGAUGGGGCCGAGGAAGUGACAUACUGGGAGCGGUGAGUCAGGAGCACUGGGAGCUAGCACUCAAAGGAAGUAGUCAGCGAUGAGGGCACUGAUAACGUAACACUGAGGCAUGAGCACAGGACCAUGCCAGCAGACCCCUUGUAUGUGAAUCCUGUAUCCUUUGUGAUCACAAAGGCUGUACCUGAGCAAGGCCGCUGCUGACGGAAAUACACAGCUAGAGGCCACCAGGGCAUCAUGAAGGUCCCACGUGUCCUGCUACCAGUCCCCCCAUCUUUCCCUGGCCCCGCCUCUUUCACAGGCCCCGCUUCUUUCCCAGGCCUUUCCCCCCAGCGCUAGCACUUUGUUUCUUCACUGACCCAGCACCAAUGCCCUCUUCCCUCCUAUUAAAACCCUGAGUAAUUAUGGGGAUAAAAUCUUAUCUUCCGCUAUUAGGAAAGAGAAUUCUCCACUUACUGCUAAUCAAUAAAAUUAGAGUGAGUUACAUAGGAUUAUCAGCAUUUCCUUGGUUUCUACCUGCAUUUUCAGAACCAAAAAAAAUACGCCUUGGUGAGUAUAGGGUGUUAAAAUUCAGUAAAGAAGGGAACAUCCUGGCAUGUUUUAUAAUAACUUUUUUUUUUUUUUAGUUUUACAAUAGCUUUCUGAAGAGUAUACUGACAAAAUACAACUUUGGUCUUUUAGUAGGGAACCACGAUUGGCUUUGGAUUUUGAUUGUAGACACCAUCUUUAAAACAAUAGACUACUUUGAAUUAACUUACUCAUGGAUAUAGCAAGUAUAAUUUUUUUUUUUUUUUUUUUUACCAGGGAUCGAAUAGCAAGUAUAAUUUUAACAAAUACUAACUAGGGAAGUGUGUUUGUAUAUUUGCAAACGAUGGAGAUGUGUGACUUUGCCAAGUAAAGUCCACAGUUCAUGGAAUUAUUAUUACUGAAAGUGUUUUUAAAUUUUUUUCAUCUUUCAGCUCUUAUAAAUCCACAUUGCAGGUUAUUUGAACUAUAAUGGAUGGUGAUUCUAAAGGAAAUUAUCAUAUUCUGCUUCUUAACUUUGAGUUCAAUUGUGGUGGAAAAAUUAUUCUGUCUUUGAACAUAAUUUAACUUCUGAAAGCAUGCAUGAAAGGAUAACUCCAGAAAGAACAGAGAAGCUGACAGCGGCUUGACUUAUUCUGGAGGAAACGAAGUGAGAGAAAUGGCAGAAGCCAGGGCUGGUCUCUAUGGUGUGACACAGACUCCAGACAGACGGGCUUGGCUGGACAGUGUGAGCAAGGAUUCUGGAGACUGUAUGUGCUUUUCAGACAACCCACAGGCCUACACGAAAUAUCACAAGCCAGCUGCCUCUGCAGGUUCCUACUCAGAGGAAAGAAAGCAGACCAUUGUCAGCGCGAGGGAGCUGAGGAAUGAGCAGCAGCUGCUCAGGACUCUGCAGCAGGCUCCAGCCCCACGCGGAGGCCACUGCCUACUUCAAGGGUGGCACCAGCACCCUCCACUCUGCCCUAGACUCCUCCAGGUGCCAGGCAAGGUCACCUGGAAGAUACAGCAUGCCUCCCGCCAUCCAAGCCAGUGUGGAUAGCCAGGCAUCGAACUUGGGUCCUUGUGCUUGUGAGCCAGGCGGUGGAACCACUGAGCUAAAUCCCUGGUGGUAUUUUGCUAUUAUGAAUGAUGGUAUGAUACUUAUACACUCAUCUGUUUAUAUUUCUGCAGGAUAAAAUUCUACAAGUAGAAUUGUUGACUGCAUCCCUUUUAUUUCUUAGUUAAAAAAUUUAUUAGCCCACAUUUGGAAUACAUAGUGACUCCAUUCAUCGUGGGGUAUCGGUGCAUGCACAUAACACAUGUUAAUUCUUUUGACUUUUUCCCUUCCCUUCCUCUCCCCCCCCUUUUUCUCUAGAGACCGCAUUCCUUUUAAAGUUUUUGAUUGGUAGAGACAAGUUUUCCUUCAGUGAGAGAAUAUCAGUUUGUGUUCUAACCAACUGAGUGUUAUGUUCAUUUCCGCAUUAGUGUUUUUAAAACUAAUUGCAAAAGAAAAUCAAAUGAACUUUGGAAGAAGCAAUAUAUCAAUGAAGAAAAUAAGAACAACACAAGAGAAAUAAUGCUUUAGUUUCCCCCCGGACUCAUCCAACUGUAGUCUGUUUCCUCUCUCCCUCUCUCUCUCUCUCUUCUCUCUCUUCUCUCUCUCUUUCUCCUUUGACCAAGUGAGGAAUACUGUGGUAGAGUUGGUCACCAAACCUAUAGCUUUUCCUGUGCAUCCAGACAGACUACAUCUCCCAGGCUCCCUUGAGGUCAAGGGUGAACAUCAGUUCUGGCCAACAGAACAUGGGCGGAAAUGAUACAUGCUAUGUCUAAACCUGGCCCAGAUGCUCCUCUUCCUGUGCAUCUCCUGGACCCUGAGGAACCAGGAGAAGACUCAAAGGCCCAGGGAAUGAAUGGUGCAGAGGAAGAAGGAGCCCAGGUCCUGAGUCACCUCACACAAGGCCACUCAGCUAUUACUCAUGCAAUUCAUAUUGUGUUAAACCAUGGAGAUUGUAGAAAAGCUAUAAACUUCAGAUAAACAAAAGAAAAAAAUUACUCAGAAUCCUAAAAACCAGAGAUAACUGUUCGAAACAUUAGCCUAUCCUCGUAAAUUGAGGCCUACUGCUUUUUAAAGUCAGCUACAACUGGAAUUAGUAGUUAAAAAUAAGGGUUUGGUAUGAUUUUCUUUUUCACAAUCAUCUUCCUCUUUCUUGAAUACUUGUUAUGUGUUUUCAUUUUUUCUGAAUACCUAUUAUGAAAAAUAAGCUAUAAUGUAUGCAUUAUUUAUUUGUGUGUAUGAAACUUCAUUCAUGUGUAAGGUAUAUUUCUCCCUACAUACAUCUCACUCUCAAAUAUCCAUGUGACUGAUAUGGAAAAUUGGUAUAUAUAAAUAACGUAGGCCAUGUAGAUUUCAUUUUGAAUAGUCUCAGCUUGGGGACUGAUACACACCUAGGCUUCCAGGAGACGCAGUGGCACUCACCAAUCAUCUGUCCCAUCCCUUGCCCACUCAUCAGCUCCCUUUGAGUCAGGAAAACCAUGUGACUAGCUCUGGCCAAUGGAAAGAGACUAGAAGCAACACAUGCUACCUAUGAGCAGAAGGGUCAAAAAGCCCACAUGCAAUUUCUCUGUUUCUCUUCCUGCUGCAGUGACAGGGACCUGGUGUAGUCAGGGACAGCAGAGUCUCCAGUAUCCCAGGUCCCCAAGCACACCCCUUCCCCUCCAAGGAUGGGCAUUUGGCAUGAGCAAGAACUAAAGCUUUCUUGUGUUAAGACAGCAGGAUUUCUGAUUAAUGGGGUAAUGCAGCCCAAGCCUACCCUGCCCUGAUAGCAUAAGGCUCACACUGUUCCCCGUCCACAUCAAGAGCUCCAAGAGAGCAGGCUCACUGCUACCAUUAGUCAUUCACAGCCCAGUUAAGUGGGCUUUGACUUCCUAGCGAUGACGGAAACACUGAAUUGAAGAAUAAGGGCUUUAUAAGACAGGUGAGCGUUCUUCUAGUGACAGUAGGAGUGACUUCACUAUAAUGCAUAAGAAGCAGAUGCAGCUUUCUGGAUUUUCCCAGGUGCAAAGUAGCUUAUGAAAUACAUUUAUUACGGUACAUGAAAACUAUUAAUAGUGUCUACAUAUAAGGGUAGAAACAAAAGAGAGUGAAUCUGAUCUCUUGGCUUGCUGAGCAUAUUUUCCACCUAAUAAUAAUGAAAAGGGAUGUAUGGCAAGGAGUGGAGAAGUCAGUUGGCAGAGAGGGAACAUGAACUGAAGUCCAGCUCCUUUGUCCCUUUUGUGUCUGUUUCAGUCUGGCUGUUGAAUAUCUUCCAAAGGUUCAUGUAUGAAAGUUUGAUCCCUAGAAUGGCACAUUGGGAAGUUCUGUGGCUCUUAAAGAGGUGGAAGUGUCCCCUCAAAGGGAAGUGGGACCCCAGUUCUGUGUGUAUGUGUGUACAUGCGCUUGGUUUAAAAUGUGACCUAUAGGGUCGGGGAUUUAGCUCAGUGGUUUUGCCGCCUGCCUAGCAAGCUCAAGGACCCAAGUUUGAUUCCCCGGUACCCUCCCCCCAGAUAAAAUAAAAUAAAAUAAAAUAAAAUAAAAUAAAACGUGACCUACAGAGAGAUUCUUUAGCUCAGUCUUGAAGGUUCAAAGUCUGAGAUCGGGCAGGUUAGGGGAGGAUUGCCUUGUCCCCUGUGAUGACAGUGGUGGUGAUGCAUCAUGGUGUCAUAUGCUUUGUUAGAGUGACAGAAGGCUGACAAACAGCAUCUGAUAUCUUUAAGUUAACUUUUAUGAAAUCAGUCAAUGAUACUUUUCUAUAGUGUCCAAUUUCUUUAUCAUGAUCACAUGUUAUUUUUAUAAUUAGAAAAUAGUAUUUCUAAUUUGGAAAAUAAACUAUUGGUUUUUUAAUAAUUGCUGCCUCCAUUGACACCUAAAGAAUCACACCUACAACAGAGUCUAUCAGCUUCCUUAACAGUUUAAUUCAAGGGCUGAGUUCGUUAGGGGAAGGUUUAACAUCGUGAUUCUAGAAGCAAGCAUAGCAGCAUCGCACAUCUGAGGGGCUCAUCCACAUCUGC
This is a long non-coding RNA of Heterocephalus glaber (naked mole-rat), 10989 nucleotides long. Lineage: Eukaryota; Metazoa; Chordata; Mammalia; Rodentia; Bathyergidae. The record is from Ensembl.